This 253-nucleotide ribosomal RNA is filed under the name uncultured bacterium. Its description in RNAcentral is "partial 16S ribosomal RNA". It matches the Rfam family "Bacterial small subunit ribosomal RNA", at positions 524 to 776 of the family's 1533-position model. The record is from RNAcentral.
UACGUAGGGGGCUAGCGUUGUCCGGAAUUAUUGGGCGUAAAGCGCGUGUAGGCGGCUUGGCAAGUCGGGUGUGAAAGCCCUCAGCUCAACUGAGGAGGUGCGCCCGAAACUGCUGAGCUCGAGUACCGGAGAGGGUGGCGGAAUUCCCCAAGUAGAGGUGAAAUUCGUAGAGAUGGGGAGGAACACCGGUGGCGAAGGCGGCCACCUGGACGGUCACUGACGCUGAGACGCGAAAGCGUGGGUAGCAAACAGG